AGUAUAAGGUUUGCUGACUUGAA
This 23-nucleotide small nuclear RNA is filed under the name Arabidopsis thaliana (thale cress). RNAcentral describes it as "snRNA_16921". The record is from RNAcentral. Lineage: Eukaryota; Viridiplantae; Streptophyta; Magnoliopsida; Brassicales; Brassicaceae.